RNAcentral lists this long non-coding RNA (474 nucleotides) under Homo sapiens (human). RNAcentral describes it as "HSALNT0121323". Lineage: Eukaryota; Metazoa; Chordata; Mammalia; Primates; Hominidae. The record is from RNAcentral.
UGGGGUCUCCGUUUCAGGCUGUGGAAGCUUUGUUGUUUCAGUCUUUGCAAUAAAUCUUGCUGCUGUUCACCCUUUGGGUUUGUGCGGCUUUUAUGAGCUGUAACACUCCCCGAGAAGGUCUGCAGUUCCACUCCUGAAGCCAGCGAGACUGGGAACCCACUGGGAGGGAGGAACAACUCCAGACGGGAGACACGAACAACUCUGGACGCGCCAUCUUUAUGAACCGUAAAAGUCACUGCGAGGGUCUGCGGCUUCAUUCUUGAAGUCAGCGAGACCAAGAACCCACCAAUUCCGGACACGAUCUGACUUAUCCUUGUAUGUGCUAAACUCAGUCUCUACCCACAAGUGGAUUUGUAACUGGUUAAUCUGUCCAUUGGGAAUGUUUACUGUGGGCCUACCAUGUACCAGGGACUACACCAUGCUAGGAAGACCUGCAUAGAGUUUACAGCUGAUAAAUCUUUUGUGAAAGGAAGA